CGGCGAGUGAAGCGGCAAGAGCUCAAAUUUGAAAUCUGGCCCCUCCGGGGUCCGAGUUGUAAUUUGCAGAGGAUGCUUCGGGUGCGGCCCCUGUCUAAGUGCCCUGGAACGGGCCGUCAGAGAGGGUGAGAAUCCCGUCUUGGGCAGGGUGCCCGUGCCCGUGUGAAGCUCCUUCGACGAGUCGAGUUGUUUGGGAAUGCAGCUCAAAAUGGGUGGUAAAUUUCAUCUAAAGCUAAAUACCGGCCGGAGACCGAUAGCGCACAAGUAGAGUGAUCGAAAGAUGAAAAGCACUUUGAAAAGAGAGUUAAACAGCACGUGAAAUUGUUGAAAGGGAAGCGCUUGCAACCAGACUCGGCCUCGGGGUUCAGCCAGCAUUCGUGCUGGUGUACUUCCCCGGGGCCGGGCCAGCGUCGGUUUGGGCGGCCGGUCAAAGGCCCCAGGAAUGUAUCGUC
This 452-nucleotide ribosomal RNA is filed under the name Aspergillus sydowii. Its description in RNAcentral is "eukaryotic LSU rRNA". It matches the Rfam family "Eukaryotic large subunit ribosomal RNA", at positions 87 to 543 of the family's 3401-position model. Lineage: Eukaryota; Fungi; Ascomycota; Eurotiomycetes; Eurotiales; Aspergillaceae. The record is from RNAcentral.